UCCUGGUUAGCUCAGUUGGUAGAGCGCUUCACUAGAAAUCGGGAAGUCCCUUGUUUGUUCCCAGGACUAGGAA
RNAcentral lists this transfer RNA (73 nucleotides) under Ixodes scapularis (black-legged tick). It matches the Rfam family "tRNA". From Rfam's summary of the family: Transfer RNA (tRNA) molecules are approximately 80 nucleotides in length. Their secondary structure includes four short double-helical elements and three loops (D, anti-codon, and T loops). Lineage: Eukaryota; Metazoa; Arthropoda; Arachnida; Ixodida; Ixodidae. The record is from Rfam by way of RNAcentral.